AUGGCCAGGAUUAGUUCACUCAGUUCGUUGGUGACAUGACACUGACGUGGAGGGUCAUGAUGGUGAUGAGAGUCAUGACCACACCCUAUAGCCCAAGGGAAGUAUAUUAUAUAUUUUAGGAGAUAAUUUCAACACUGAAACACAAUGCUACAGAAUAAUCCAAGCUAAGAUAUAAACCGAAUAUAUAUAGAAACACAAAUAUGGAUAUCGUGAAUACCAGCAUCCAAAAUAACUAACUAAUAUAAGCAGAAAAAAACACAGAAAAACAAGUAGCAAUACGACUACUCAUCAUACUUCUUUACAACGAUUUGCACCGGUGACACGCGUGGGGCCUGUAAGAGAACUUUUAACAUCUCCAACUCUUCAUCCUUCUCAUGAACCACACUACUUAUCAACAACACCUUCUUCAACUUAGGAGACCUGGAGAUGAUAAACUUCACAAACUCCAUCGAAGGCUUCGAGUUGUUAAAAUAAUAAAUCACCAAUUCCUUCAGAUGCUCCAUCCAAACAUCUGAGUAUUUUUCCAAUAUACCAGAAUAUAUCUCAUUUUCAUCAUUAUACCCCAGUUCAGCCUAUAGAAAGGGUUGUCAUUAUAUUUUUGUCAGUAGAUUUUGGUGAGAAUUAAAAUAACAGAUUUACCUCUAGCACAAUGUGCUCCAAGUUCGGGGAACAUUUAAGCAAAAUAGCAAGGAAAGUUAAAUGAUGGUUGCCAUCUAAAGACAUUUUUUUGAAACAAAAGUAUUUGAG
This 747-nucleotide long non-coding RNA is filed under the name Helianthus annuus (common sunflower). Its description in RNAcentral is "sRNA HanXRQr2_Chr10g0458201". Lineage: Eukaryota; Viridiplantae; Streptophyta; Magnoliopsida; Asterales; Asteraceae. The record is from RNAcentral.